AUACAGAGGUGCAAGAGGCGAACCAGGGGAACUGAAACGUCUAAGUACCCUGAGGAAAAGAAAUCAACCGAGAUUCCCUUAGUAGUGGCGAGCGAACGGGGACCAGCCCUUAAGUUGAUUUGAGAUUAGUGGAACGCUCUGGAAAGUGCGGCCAUAGUGGGUGAUAGCCCCGUACACGAAAAUCUCUUAUCAAUGAAAUCGAGUAGGACGGAGCACGAGAAACUUUGUCUGAAUAUGGGGGGACCAUCCUCCAAGGCUAAAUACUACUGA
Molecule: ribosomal RNA, 270 nt
Filed under: Mycobacterium tuberculosis
Lineage: Bacteria; Bacillati; Actinomycetota; Actinomycetes; Mycobacteriales; Mycobacteriaceae
Description: partial 23S ribosomal RNA
Rfam family: Bacterial large subunit ribosomal RNA
Source: RNAcentral